This 1257-nucleotide long non-coding RNA is filed under the name Venturia canescens. RNAcentral's name for it is "uncharacterized LOC122412551, transcript variant X1". The record is from RNAcentral. Lineage: Eukaryota; Metazoa; Arthropoda; Insecta; Hymenoptera; Ichneumonidae.
UGCUCUUCUUCUUGGGUGAAGAGAGGUGGCCAAUUAGCCGUUACUCCGCGUACCAUGCCUCUUACAAACCCAGGGCCCAACAGACCAGCGAACCACCUCCACGGCCAUUCUCCUUCGUCCGUAUACUCCGCACGAUCGUUUCUCGCAUGUCUGCUCUCACCGUUGCAGUUGCAUCGCGGCGUUUCGAGAGGAUCCUAGCACAAUGUAUAACCUCAGCGUUUAUAGUUUUCAUUUUCUUGAGGAUAUCACAAGCUCGCAUCGUGGACCAGGCCGAGUCGUAAAGAUUAAAGAUUCAACUACGAAGUGCGUUUCGUGGAUUAUUCCAAUGAAAAAAUAGGGGAAACAGGUCUGAAAAACUAACUGGCGAAAAAAGUCCUUAAAUCGACGUCUGACAGUUACUCGUCGGACCUUUCGAUCAGCUGUCACAACAUCUCACGCGGACAUUCCCGCAUCCUUGAGAUCAUUUCGACCGCAACGUUUUAGGAACAGUUAUCUGCGGUACGAGGAAAGCAACCCAGGUGCCUGGAGACCGGAGGAGGGAACCGAUUCUAUUAUCACGAGAAAUGAUUAAUUGUUGUACGAAUAAAAUAGGCUAGCGCUGAGAAACUGGAGUGAAAAAGAAUGUACAGUUUCUACGUUCCAUCAACGAGCGAGAGCGGUCAAACAAUCGAAUCUGCUCGAGGAAAGUAACCUUCGCUAAUUCAGUUAAAUUUUACUUACACGUUCGACUAUGAAUCGUUAUUGAACCGCUACCGCGCGUCUCCUGAUACAACGAGAUGUGACAAAAUUUAGGCAAAGUUUUGUGGGUUUAAUUUAUUACUAAAUUAUUAUUAUAUUAUUGUUACAGUUUCCUUCUCCUGUAUGAGCAUGAAUUUGUCUCAUUACUAAAAUGAAGAUCUUGUGCUCGACAACGAUCGUCCUUAGUAAUAAACAAGAUAAAAGACACAGAAGACGUACGAACCUCGAGUGAUACGCAUCACAUUGUAUUCUGUUGUAUAACAAACUGCCUCAUACUAAAAACUAAUCAAAUUAUUUAUUUCACUAACAAUAUUAUAUGUAUAUUAAAAUAUUGUAUACAAAAAUAUAAAUUGAAUGUAAAUAUAAAAAUGAAAUCAUUAUUGAAUUAUCAAAAGCGUUCCGAAACGAUAAAAAUUUCAAAAACAUUCAUUCGCCUUCCCAUUUUAGGAAGGAACGACGCGUGAAUCUGUCGGUUUGUCGAUACUGUAGAAAUUUAAAUAAACAAAGUAAUAGAGUUGA